GGCGCUUUAGCCAAGUGGUAAGGCACGAGUCUGCAAAACUCUUAUUCAUUGGUUCGAGUCCAAUAAGCGCCUCCA
RNAcentral lists this transfer RNA (75 nucleotides) under Lachnospiraceae bacterium. Its description in RNAcentral is "tRNA-Cys". It matches the Rfam family "tRNA". From Rfam's summary of the family: Transfer RNA (tRNA) molecules are approximately 80 nucleotides in length. Their secondary structure includes four short double-helical elements and three loops (D, anti-codon, and T loops). The record is from RNAcentral. Lineage: Bacteria; Bacillati; Bacillota; Clostridia; Lachnospirales; Lachnospiraceae.